UGCUCUUAUGAAGUUAGCGGCGGACGGGUGAGUAACACGUGGGUAACCUGCCCAUAAGACUGGGAUAACUCCGGGAAACCGGGGCUAAUACCGGAUAACAUUUUGAACUGCAUGGUUCGAAAUUGAAAGGCGGCUUCGGCUGUCACUUAUGGAUGGACCCGCGUCGCAUUAGCUAGUUGGUGAGGUAACGGCUCACCAAGGCAACGAUGCGUAGCCGACCUGAGAGGGUGAUCGGCCACACUGGGACUGAGACACGGCCCAGACUCCUACGGGAGGCAGCAGUAGGGAAUCUUCCGCAAUGGACGAAAGUCUGACGGAGCAACGCCGCGUGAGUGAUGAAGGCUUUCGGGUCGUAAAACUCUGUUGUUAGGGAAGAACAAGUGCUAGUUGAAUAAGCUGGCACCUUGACGGUACCUAACCAGAAAGCCACGGCUAACUACGUGCCAGCAGCCGCGGUAAUACGUAGGUGGCAAGCGUUAUC
This 481-nucleotide ribosomal RNA is filed under the name Bacillus cereus. RNAcentral's name for it is "bacterial SSU rRNA". It matches the Rfam family "Bacterial small subunit ribosomal RNA", at positions 79 to 545 of the family's 1533-position model. The record is from RNAcentral. Lineage: Bacteria; Bacillati; Bacillota; Bacilli; Caryophanales; Bacillaceae.